Unclassified non-coding RNA from Gopherus agassizii (Agassiz's desert tortoise), 165 nucleotides. The record is from Ensembl. NCBI's taxonomy places the organism in Eukaryota, Metazoa, Chordata, Testudines, Testudinidae.
UUGACCAUGUUAGAAAUCAAAAUCCUCCGCUUAUCCACAGAACAGGUACAGCACAGGCAGUGGCAGUUCAAACUUCUCCUACGGUACUGACAAAAUGCUUCAGCCCUCAUCUCCAAGACAGAGUUGAUAGCGCCCAUUUCCAAGCCCAUUUAGUCAUUUGUGUUG